Molecule: ribosomal RNA, 487 nt
Filed under: uncultured bacterium
Lineage: Bacteria
Description: bacterial SSU rRNA
Rfam family: Bacterial small subunit ribosomal RNA
Source: RNAcentral
AUUGAACGCUGGCGGCAUGCCUUACACAUGCAAGUCGAACGGCAGCACGGGAGCAAUCCUGGUGGCGAGUGGCGAACGGGUGAGUAAUAUAUCGGAACGUGCCCAGUAGUGGGGGAUAGCCCGGCGAAAGCCGGAUUAAUACCGCAUGAGACCUGAGGGUGAAAGCGGGGGAUCGCAAGACCUCGCGCUAUUGGAGCGGCCGAUAUCAGAUUAGCUAGUUGGUGGGGUAAAGGCCUACCAAGGCAACGAUCUGUAGUUGGUCUGAGAGGACGACCAGCCACACUGGGACUGAGACACGGCCCAGACUCCUACGGGAGGCAGCAGUGGGGAAUAUUGCGCAAUGGCCGCAAGGCUGACGCAGCGACGCCGCGUGGGGGAUGAAGCAUUUCGGUGUGUAAACCCCUGUUGCUCGGGACGAACAACCCUUUUCGAGGGGUCUGACGGUACCGGGUGAGGAAGCACCGGCUAACUCCGUGCCAGCAGCCGC